CAGCCGCCGCGGUAAUACGGAGGGUGCAAGCGUUAAUCGGAAUUACUGGGCGUAAAGCUUGCGUAGGUGGUGGUUUAAGUCCGUUGUGAAAGCCCUGGGCUCAACCUGGGAAUUGCAGUGGAUACUGGGUCACUAGAGUGUGGUAGAGGAUAGUGGAAUUUCCGGUGUAGCAGUGAAAUGCGUAGAGAUCUGGAGGAAUACCGGUGGCGAAGGCGGCCCCCUGGACAAAGACUGACGCUCAGGUGCGAAAGCGUGGGGAGCAAACAGGAUUAGAUACCCCAGUAGUCCCUGUCUCUUAUAC
This 301-nucleotide ribosomal RNA is filed under the name uncultured bacterium. Its description in RNAcentral is "partial 16S ribosomal RNA". It matches the Rfam family "Bacterial small subunit ribosomal RNA", at positions 509 to 807 of the family's 1533-position model. The record is from RNAcentral.